RNAcentral lists this long non-coding RNA (358 nucleotides) under Helianthus annuus (common sunflower). Its description in RNAcentral is "hypothetical non coding rna". Lineage: Eukaryota; Viridiplantae; Streptophyta; Magnoliopsida; Asterales; Asteraceae. The record is from RNAcentral.
GCCCAAGGUUAAAAGAAUAAAGUGUUCGGUUCGAGGCUUGAUCGCAAAUCCGUUGAAGGACACUCGCAUCUGAAGAUGACGAGAGUUGAAUGAACUGUGGAUAUGACGGUGGAACGGUCCGAGGUAUGACAAGCUGAGCACACUCAUUGAGGACCUAAAUCGCGUGAUGAUCGCGAACAAAGUUCACGGCAAGAGAAGCCCGUUAGGGCAAGCAUUACCAGUUUGACGCUUGACAAGGUAGGUGGAGGUUUGGAAAGGAAGCGGGUCAAACGAAGCAAAUAAGAAGGAAAAGCAUACUUCGGAUGCGAGGUGAUUGCCAAGAGUGCCCGGAUGAAGAUCAAGCUCGAUGAGGAACCGA